UACGUAGGGGGCAAGCGUUGUCCGGCUUUAUUGGGCGUAAAGAGCGUGUAGGCGGCCUGACAGGUCUGCUGUGAAAACUCGAGGCUCAACCUCGAGAUGUCGGCGGAAACCGUCUGGCUAGAGUCCGGAAGAGGAGAGUGGAAUUCCUGGUGUAGCGGUGAAAUGCGCAGAUAUCAGGAAGAACACCUAUGGCGAAGGCAGCUCUCUGGGACGGUACUGACGCUGAGACGCGAAAGCGUGGGGAGCGAACAGG
This 253-nucleotide ribosomal RNA is filed under the name uncultured bacterium. RNAcentral describes it as "partial 16S ribosomal RNA". It matches the Rfam family "Bacterial small subunit ribosomal RNA", at positions 524 to 776 of the family's 1533-position model. The record is from RNAcentral.